UCAUAUGUUUGGAUUUUAACUGGGCGAGGGGAGUCCCAUUUGCUGGGAAAUGCAGAAUAGUAAAGCUAGAGCGGUGGAAUGAUUGACAUUAGGGUUGACAUCUGGAGAAGUGAGAGCUGUCUAGGUCUUCCAAAGACUGAAUAAUGUACAAAUCCAUGGCACUGUAUAGUCAAAAUAUGACUUAUUGGAAUAAGUAUUUCCAUUCCAGUUUAAAGGGUGCACUGAUUUUUCUCGAGGUCACAGAACAAAAAAUGGAGUUGCCAGGAAUCUAUCUCUUCGCUUCUCUGUUCUAAACUCCCUUAGGCCAUCCUACAUUAGCUCUUAGUAUUUAUUAUUAAUUUAUUUUAUUAAUUAAAACAGUUCAGUUAAUAACAAUAUACACUUGUGUAGUGAUUUAUAGUUUACCCUCCUGAUUUCACGUGAUCUCAUUUAAUCCUCAAAAACAACCAAGUGAUAAAACUGAGGCACUGAGGGGUGGAGAGACUUGUCCAAGACCACACAGCUGUUGGCAGGGCUGGCACUGGCCUGGCACGUGAGGGCCUGGGGUCUGUAACCUCUCUCCUGCCAGGGCGGACGUUACUGAUGUGUUUGGGCUCAGCACACUCCUACAGCUGUCCACUGUGUGCUCAACUGAAGAAGCCAUUCUCCCAGACAGAGGGAGCUCUUCUGUGGUUAAGGAUAUAAAAAGAGCUGUGUUCUAAGGCCAGAAUUUUCCCCCCAGUUCUUCUCAAGGUCCAUUCAGAGGCUAACGUCGCAUUUCUGCAGCCCAGGCACUUUAACUGUUAUUAUUUUUGUGUUUAUUUUUUGUUUGUAGAAAGAGUCCGGGACAUGUUGCAUAUUUACGACGCCAAAAUAGGAAGUGUGUGAUGCCCACUCGACCGCAAUGAAUUCCAAGGCAUAAAGGCCCCAGAAUCUCUGGAUACAAGAAGUCCUCACUCUGCCAUCCCUUCUUGAGUGGUGUUGGUGGACUUCCUAUGUGAUCCCGAGGUGGAGUCAGCUGGUGUAAGAGUUGGCAACCAGCUCUGCUCCAUAGACGGCAUUCACUUAGGAAGCACGACUGGCGGCUUCAUGCGAUUGGAGAGAAAAGGGGAGAGGGGGAGGUGAAGAGAGGAGGAGGAGCCCUCGGCAGAAUUCCAAGUUCCGUGGCACUGGCCCCACGGAACUCUGGAAACAAGAAUCAGGCUUGGGCUGCGCAGGUUCCAAG
This 1204-nucleotide long non-coding RNA is filed under the name Homo sapiens (human). Its description in RNAcentral is "HSALNT0316695". The record is from RNAcentral. Lineage: Eukaryota; Metazoa; Chordata; Mammalia; Primates; Hominidae.